AUGAUGAUGAUGAUGAUGAUGAUGUUGAAUAUUGAUGCAUAUCGGAGGGAAGGGCGGAGCUAUAGCCGGAGGGAUGGCAUUGAAGGAGGGAGCAGGGGAUACGUAUUGCUGAAGAUCGCGCGACCAAAGGGAGUAUGCAGGCCGCCGGAAUUGGAUGUUGGUCAGAGUGAGAUGUCGCAGUCGCCGGAGUUGGUGGUGACCGGAACUGAGUGUCGAAGCUUGCUGGAAUGGCAGGGAGAAGACGGCGAGAGUGUGUUGCGAAAGAGAGAUAGCGGAGGAGAUAUAUGUGCACGGGAGGAAGGACGGAGAAGGAUCUGA
Non-coding RNA from Vicia faba (fava bean), 318 nucleotides. NCBI's taxonomy places the organism in Eukaryota, Viridiplantae, Streptophyta, Magnoliopsida, Fabales, Fabaceae. The record is from the annotation of a GenBank genome assembly.